AUUUCCUGUUUGUAACCGAAAAAGACACAAGACAGUAAAAAUAGAAGCAGAUAUGGUGCACCUCGUGAAGAACAUGCGUAGAUGCCCCUAAAGCUUCUUCACAAACAGACAGCUGAAAUACGGACUGAUAAAAAUGUCAGACAAUGAAAAUUGUACAGGAGAGCUUGUAGGUAUGUCACUGACAUCAAUAGGACUGGUUAUAUCAGUAUCUUUAAAUAUACUUCUGUAUACAUUGAGAAGAAGAGAGAGACAGAACAGAGAUGUGGAGGAGCCAUUGUACCGAGACUAUUUUCAUGGCGACAGAUUUGAAGAUGAAGCGGUCAAUCAGGAUAAUCCUAUUUAUGGAAACAUCUGUAUGGAAGGAGGAGGUAGGGAAAACGAGUAUCCAGGCGAACCGAGGACAAAUCAAAGUGUAAGACAAGAUGAACAGGAUGACUCAGCCGACGUCUCCUAUGCCUCUCUGGACUUAACUGUGGCUCAGAAGCGAAAAAAGAAGAGAAAGUACCAGCAGAAACAGAGCCAGACCCAUCAGGCCCAGACCCAUUCUGCACCCAUGGCCCAGCAGAGCUGCCUGGAGACGGGCUCAGACUGCGAGGUGGCCCUCCCGUCCCGCUCCAGCAGCCUCAUGGUGUCCCGCAACAGCAUCUACCUCAACAGCCAUCAAGUAGCACUGGAGACAGAGGAGCUGGAGAGAGAACGAAAGAGGGAGAGACAAAGCAAUCGAGCCAGAGAGAUGGAGAUAAGGAAUAUUUACCGUGACUUUGAUCACAGCCUUGGACAAUCAGAUCUGAGGCAUGAGGACGACGUCUAGAGGCCAAAGCAAAUGGCAAAAGUCUGAAAGUGUUCAGAAACUGUCGUACUGUUCGGAUUCCGGAGUUUAGGUUUACUUUUAUGUUGCUAAUUAUUUUAUUUUUCACAUAUUUCUUACAGCGUCAUAGAAAUAUUUAUAAUUAUUGUAACUGUAACUCAAUUUGUACAAAUUUUCAUUAAAUUGCAUUUACUAUUUAUAUGCAGUAUUCAUUCAGCAGCCUUCUUUCCAUUUAACUAAUUUGUUGUUGUCACUAAAAAAUCUAAAAGUUCAUGGUACAUGCUGGUUAUUUUGUCUAGUCUGUAAACAAGUUGUCAAAUGUGACAUAUCUAAAAUAAACACGUAUAUUAUAUUAUUUUAUUAAAUUAU
RNAcentral lists this long non-coding RNA (1177 nucleotides) under Astyanax mexicanus (Mexican tetra). Its description in RNAcentral is "lncRNA (ENSAMXG00005008955.1)". The record is from RNAcentral. Lineage: Eukaryota; Metazoa; Chordata; Actinopteri; Characiformes; Acestrorhamphidae.